RNAcentral lists this long non-coding RNA (1269 nucleotides) under Mytilus galloprovincialis (Mediterranean mussel). Lineage: Eukaryota; Metazoa; Mollusca; Bivalvia; Mytilida; Mytilidae. The record is from RNAcentral.
CAUUUAACAAUAAUAACAUCAGCAACAACAACAAGUUAAUACAUUUUUAUCACAGACUGUUAUAAAAUAUCACAUCAUUGGUUAAAAAAAAAUAUAGGUACUUACAUUUAAUAGCUACAUAUAAAAUGGACGGGUAUAUAUAUAUAUAAAGGAACAUAUGUCUUUACUGUGCUUCUUGGUUCACAUUCAAACAGUCUUUGUUAGUGACCAAGUAUUAUCAAUUCACUCUGUUACAAUCGAAAUCGGUUGGAUUUAGGUCAUGUCAAUGUAUUGGACCAGUAAGGAAAUGCAAUUGCAGUAACAAUCACUCAUUAGUAUAACAAUAUACUAUUUCAAUUUCGUUUUUACCAAUGAAAACUGUAUACCAUAAAUAAGGAAAAACAUAUAGAUAAUUGUGUCUGUAAUGCAUUUUUAAACGUAUUUUGACAAUUUAUUCCCACUCUUCCAAUCUGCAAGUUACAAACUCUUAUAUUUUUUUUUAUCUUACAAUUGGUCCAGAACAAGCGAGUUUAAUGUAGUCCUUAGCUUUUUAACGACUUAAAAAUGGAACUAAAAAACUUAACGCAAAACAAUCGACAAAUUUUCAUUGGUAUAUUACAAGUUUUAAAAAAUCACAAAAUAUCACUAACAUUAAUAACUAUAUUAUACAGACUAACAGUAAAAAUACAUAUACAACAUUUAAAAAAAAUAAAGCUACGUUUGCUUCAGUAUUUGCUUGGAAAGGAUACAGUAUUUGGGAGGUGCAACCCGAAAAUAAAAGUACAUUAUUAAAAAAAAUCAAUAGAGCAAAACUUAUAAAACACACGUGGUGUGAGAACUGUGCUUUCUUUAAAUAUUGGAUGUUAUAUUCUGUCCUUUGAAACUUAUAUUCAGUAUGUCGACAAAGACAAACAUUUACUAACCAACAUGAAUAUAUUAAGUACCUUGGACAAAUACCUUCUGUUUAAUAUUGCAUUACAAUCAAUGAACAACUUAUUGUAAAUAAUUACCAAACGAUCGAAGGUCAAGAACUUAUUACAAAUUCAAUAAAGGAAAUUUAUAAAUAUCAUGAUUUUACAAUUUCAACACAAUAGUAGCAAAUAUCCUCAGCUGUGCAUUUCAGAAUAUAUGUUUGAUAUAUGUGUUGAGUAAAUUUGUAGCAUUUAUUUUUAGAAUAUCAACUUAUUGUCAAUAACUAAAACAUAAUUUAAAAUCAACUGCAUAUCUCGGUUAAUGCAAGGGAGACAAAUGAAAACAACAAGAUUCAAUGUUAUUUGAAGAUCACAUUUU